GCUGGAAUCGCUAGUAAUCGCAGAUCAGAAUGCUGCGGUGAAUACGUUCCCGGGUCUUGUACACACCGCCCGUCACACCAUGGGAGUUGGAAAUGCCCGAAGUCGGUGACCUAACCGAAAGGGAGGAGCCGCCGAAGGCAGGUCUGAUAACUGGGGUGAAGUCGUAACAAGGUAAC
Molecule: ribosomal RNA, 176 nt
Filed under: uncultured bacterium
Lineage: Bacteria
Description: partial 16S ribosomal RNA
Rfam family: Bacterial small subunit ribosomal RNA
Source: RNAcentral